UUAUAAAAAUUCUAAUUCGAAAAUUUUUCUUAAAACUUACUUAGCUCAGAAAAGCAAUUUUAUCAUCCAAGGAAUCAAUUAAUAAGGAUGACAAUGAUAGUCUGUACAAAUCGCAAAAAUCAUUAUUUUCCUGUAUUCAUAUUGGAAUGGUAAAAUGUAAUGCAGAUAUUUCAUAAGGUAUGAUCCAGUUGAUGAGUCCAGAGACAUCAAGAUGAAACAGUAGUCAAUUAAACAUUUCAAAAAGCUUGACUUCAAAAUUGGAAAGCUUUCAGGAACAGUUGACCAGUUGAUGACUUUAUGCUGCUGGUUUUAAAGAAAAAAUUUUUAAUAUGCUUUUUCCUGUUACCAGAGCUUUGAAAUGCAUGAAACAAUUGCUAAGCAACCAAACAUUGCUAAUUUUUGAGGUAAAGAUGUCAUCAUGUCAGAUGACUUUAGCUGUUUUUCCCAUUGUGAUUGAACUCAUCAGACAAUUGGAGCAAGAGUUAACAAUAACUAUUGGUGGGCAAACAAUAAAAGAAGUUGGCUAUUUAUUACAAUCUGGUAGAAACAAAUUGGAGGGUUUGUGUCUAUUGGAAAAUCAAGUUUACUGUCUUGGCUAAAACGCUAAAUGCAAAAGUCCAGCUCAUUAAAAAGAUAGAGAGACAAUUUCAAAGUAGCAAGUGAAAAGGAAUGUUAUGAUGGUUCCAGGAUCAAAAGCAUAAGAAAGAUAAAUACAGAUGAAUAAUAAAUGGUAUCUGAGGUGAUAUUGUGUUGAAUAUAGAAAAUUAUAUUUUUGCUGAUAUGUUGGUGUUGAUGGACAAAAGGAAAAUGAAAGUGUUGAAGAUGACUACGUAUGAAGAAUUGAGCAAAAACUUGAGUGGAAUAAAAAUUGGACAAUUGUAUCAAAGAGAUAAAGAAGUGGAUCACCAGAAAGUAUCAGAUUUAGAGAUAAUUUGCUGUGAUAUUUUCAAGAACUGAAAUUUUGAGUUCGACGUGGGAUGUUUGGAGCUGACACUCAAGUUUUUCUUUCAAUUUCCCUUUCAACAUACUGCAAUAUUCUCGUGAACCUACGAAUGUAAUCAUAAAAAUUUCUAACGAGAAAAAUACUUGUAAAAGUCCGUUAAAUCGUAUCACAUACAUAUAACACAAUAAAUAUAAAAAUUUAGUACGUACGUUGGCAGAAUAAACUUUUUUAUUAUUUGUAA
Xenia sp. Carnegie-2017 is the source of this 1184-nucleotide long non-coding RNA. RefSeq lists it as uncharacterized. The record is from RefSeq and is a predicted model, not a curated record. NCBI's taxonomy places the organism in Eukaryota, Metazoa, Cnidaria, Anthozoa, Malacalcyonacea, Xeniidae. The transcript has 3 exons.